CAUCCUCCAAGGCUAAAUACUCCUGACUGACCGAUAGUGAACCAGUACCGUGAGGGAAAGGCGAAAAGAACCCCGGCGAGGGGAGUGAAAAAGAACCUGAAACCGUGUACGUACAAGCAGUGGGAGCCCCACCACCAAAGCAUUCUCUGGUGUUGAAGGCCCUGCAAAGCAGCAUCGCGGUGGCGGAGCGUCGUUUGCGACGCCCAACACACAAAACAAGCGGUGAAUGCUUUGGGGUGGGGUGACUGCGUACCUUUUGUAUAAUGGGUCAGCGACUUAUAUUCUGUAGCAAGGUUAACCGAAUAGGGGAGCCGGAGGGAAACCGAGUCUUAAUUGGGCGUUAAGUUGCAGGGUAUAGACCCGAAACCCGGUGAUCUAGCCAUGGGCAGGUUGAAGGUUGGGUAACACUAACUGGAGGACCGAACCGAC
RNAcentral lists this ribosomal RNA (429 nucleotides) under Salmonella enterica. RNAcentral describes it as "bacterial LSU rRNA". It matches the Rfam family "Bacterial large subunit ribosomal RNA", at positions 454 to 783 of the family's 2925-position model. Lineage: Bacteria; Pseudomonadati; Pseudomonadota; Gammaproteobacteria; Enterobacterales; Enterobacteriaceae. The record is from RNAcentral. RNAcentral also lists the same sequence under 4 other names.